This 220-nucleotide unclassified non-coding RNA is filed under the name uncultured Thelephoraceae. Its description in RNAcentral is "sequence contains ITS2". The record is from RNAcentral. Lineage: Eukaryota; Fungi; Basidiomycota; Agaricomycetes; Thelephorales; Thelephoraceae.
ACACCUCAACUCUCAUGGUUUGCCAUGACGAGCUUGGACUUUGGGGGUCUUGCUGGCCUUAUGGGUCAGCUCCUCUCAAAUGGAUCAGCUUGCCAGUGUUUGGUGGCGUCACAGGUGUGAUAACUAUCUACGCUUGUGGCUCUCCGCCAGAUAACCUUCAGCGAUGGAGGUCCACUGGAGCUCAUAAAUGUCUCUCCUCAGUGAGGACAGCUCUUUGAAU